UUUUUUUUUUUUUUUUGCAUACAUUGUCUGAUAUUGAAAAAAGAGAACAACGAAGAAGACGAACCCCCCAAAAAAAAAAAAAACAAAAGAAAGAUGAUGAACUCUUGUUCCAUGACAUUGGGAAAAUUUUGUUACAGUCAAAGUGUAGUUCAUUCUUGAUGAUAGGCUUAACUUCACGCUAACAGCAGAAUAGGAUAACCCUCUUUUCCCCCGUCCACUUUCCCACUUCUACAGUAGUAACUCAUAGCAUAUAAAUGUUUCUUCUACCAACAUCCCCAUUUCUCACGUAUUGGUGUGUGCGUGGUACAUUAUCAUUGAGCAAGUUUUUUCUUGUUGGAAAGGUAUAGAUGCUUUCCUCUUUAAUUUGAUGCCCAGCACUGUUUGAAUAAAAAUAAAAAUGUUUAGGCUGCAAAAAUAUCUGCCUUGACAUCCAUCCGUUGGCAAACUUGGCCUAAUUGUAGGACACAAAUACUUUGUCAGUAAGCAUAUUAUCAAGUAGUAUUAAAGAAAACGCAUUGUUAAUAUGUGCAUUUGACUUUAAGCGGCGCAAAUGAUGUAAAAUAGAGAAAGAUACACACAAAAUCUUCUGAAGACGUCUCCAAAUCCUCUAUCUAUGCAUGUUUGAGACGGAUCCCAGAUUGUUCGUUCAUUUCUUGUCUCUUUUUGAGGUGACCUCUGACCAUUACUGUUGCUCGUGGAAGGCAUUUUCACAGUGAUAAAUUAUUGCAGGUAUUAACAUCAAAUUAUACUAAUCACACUAGGAUAAGUCGGUUAGCAAGUUGAUUAACUUUUUUCGCUUUUUUGGAAGCUGUAGGUCCAAAAAGUGGUUAUGAAAAAUGGCCACUUUGAUUUAAUUAAGUUGGUAGUGCAAAAGUAAAACAAGAGGAUGCGGCGGUGCUUUAGAUUUAUGGAUUGUUGGUUACGAAAGUGGAGACCCUGUUAGACGUUUGCUAAUACGUACCAUUAAUUAGUAAUUUGGACAAAGGUAGUCAGGUUGAUAAACAUCACCGGUUUAUGGGUAGUUUGAAGCCAAGAAAUAUCAAAUACUUAGGACUUGUUUCAUAUUCCAAUUCAGCACUUAAAUUUAACGAAUUCAUAGAUUUCAAACUUCAGACGCAUCCCUAAUCAUAUCUGUCAGAGGUAGUAGCAGGUCUAUUAUGAAGUUUGAGCUGUAAAGAAAAAUAUUUCUUUGUUGGAUCCGAACUCAAACAACAAGAAAGAGAGAUGUCUUUCAAAUAAGUGAAAAGUGAAACCAAAAACUUACCAAAGAUUUGAGAUAAGAUUUUGGGGCGUAAUCAGUUUGCAUAUCUAUAUCACCAACACAGUUCAAUCUUCGUAGUCACAUUAAAGCCAAGCCAGAGAUUAGGGAAACACACUCUCAAUAUUUUUGGUUGAAAAGGAAGGAUGCCAAGCAGAGGAAGCAGGUAUAACUUUACCAAGAACCCCAAAUUAUUACUUAUUAGUAGUAGUACGCCAUUAGGGAAUCUAGCUAGUGAUGAGUACCAAGUUGAAAACUCAGGCACACUUCUGAUUGGAAAUCUGUCAAAACUGUAAAAUUCCUCCGACAGGCCUUGACUAAUAUGGGUCGUCAAAAUUCCAUUUUGGAGAAUUUUUUUCUUUAUAGCCUUCAAAGUUUUAAAAAGGAGGUUUGGUUAGAUAAACCUUGGAUUUUGCUAGAAGCUAACACCUUUCUUCACAAAGGCAUUGAAUGAGGUUGCGUUUCAAGCUUGUUUUUGUAUGGUUGUUUCAGAUACUGAUGCCUGUGUCUUUUUUGUAAUAAAUUGAUUAAUUCAAGCUGUAUACUACAUUCUUCUCUGAUUCUGAUGCCUUGAUCGUUUCACAUCAUCCUGUUACUAGGGAAAACGACUAUGGUAUUAUGCGGUCUUAGUUUUGGCCAAAAUUCAUUGAUAGCUGAAGCAACACGAGGAACUUAGACAUUCCGCGACAUAAAAAGGUAAUAAAUAAUUAGAUUACAGUUUUGUGCCGUAACGUUAAUUGCAACCACCUUUUGUUGCCCUCCUCUUUUUUUUUUUCUUAUUCGAUGGAACUUUAUGUUACCCUGUGGCUGAUGUGAUGAUUCAGGAGCACAUCGGGCUAGCUGAGGGCAAGCGGGCUGGUCAAACAUUCACUCCUCCAUAUUUCACUCUACGUUCGGAAGUCGAAACUUCCUUUAACCAGGGAAAAUUGCAUCUUGAACUAUUUUUCCAGCGCAAAUGCGGAACGCCAAAAGUUGGGCUGAACUCGAUUCGUUUACGGCUCUAUUUGAAGAAGUAACUUUAGGUCUUGAUUAUAUGUUUACAUGACAACUUGAUGAAAAUUGAUGGAAAACAAAUUUUGGGAUCCAAUUCCAUGCAUUUGAUAGUUAUUUUUUUUCCCAUUUUUACUUGAAUUAUGCCACUAACUUGCUCAAUAAAUCACUAUUUUCUUGUCAUCUCAAUCAUUGAGAUAACUUACUAUCGCACCUCUCAUUUCUUUUUCGUAACUUGGGACCCGAUUCUUGAAAUCUAAGAUCGACAGUCUCGGCGCGAUGCCACUAUUCCGUCCAAAAAAAAAACUGUAAUUGUGCGAGGGAAAAAAUCAAGAGGUGCAAUAAGAUCCUCAAGUGAUAUGCCCAAAAAACUGGCAAACCAAACUAUGAAACAUUUUGGAAUGGUGUUCACAAAGUGAGAUUUAUUUAGACACCCUAGUAAUGUUUAUUAGCGAGUACCAAUUUUUAAGUAACUCAAAAUGGGAGCAGUCUGAAAAAGGAUCUUAGACUUGCGAGAAGCAUGAAACCUGUCGUUAAUGGAGGCAAAGCCAUGUUAGACGUCGCACCAAUCUUUCUUUACGCAAUCGUUGAUUAAUCACUCCUUUUUAAGCAAGAAAUCAUGGAUCCCGUUUAGUUUUGUUUUUGGAGGGGUUGAGGGCGGCGAGAAUCUUAUUCCUCCACUUGAGAGCAGCUACCCAUCUAAAGCAAUGUCUUGGAUUCACUCUUUCCUUUGCUCCAAGUAUAAAUUUUUUUUUGAUUUGACAUUCUCCACGUUUCGCCACUGCUUUUAUUUGCCACAAGAAUUGAUUUGCGCUUUUAACAUCACAAUUAGCGUUGAUUUGCCACAAACAUAUUCCACUUAGAAUAAGUUCAACCCUUUCCUAAAAUUAGAUACUCGUGUGGUUCAACACAUGAUAGACAAAGGACUUUAUCGACAUUGGAUUCGUGUAAAGAGUUUAAACGAUUAAGGAGAGAAACCCUCGUACAGAAGGCCACCAUGAGUUAUCUCUUUUACAAAUUUUGUUUUAAGGAGAGGGUGUCAAGUUUGUAUAGAUACAAUUAUCAUACUGGUUCUUGACAGUGUAAUUAAAUGAGCAGGUUUAACCGACAAAAUAGAUUUUGACUUAUGGUCAUCAUAUCAUCUGUUGAUAUGGAGGUCAAUUUCAGUUCAGUUCGGUUUAUCUACUGAUGUUGUAGGAGAAAUUCAAUUAACUUGACACAAGAAAAUAUUAGCUGGUUGAUAUGAUAAUCAUCAUCUCAUCUGCUGUUAUGCAUUUCUUUAUUAAUUUGAACUUUGUCUCGUGCUUAAACCAAGUAAUAUCUUCAUCCUGUACAAACUAUAUGGCGACCGGAGAACCGAAAAUAUAUGAUAAUUGAUCCACGAUGAAUUAUUUGGGGAGUUGAAAUUAUGUGGAAGUAGCUAAUACUGCAUGCUUUGUGUCACAGAUUUGUGACACAAAGUACAUAUAUUUGAUCAGGUACUGUAAUAUGCAAAGCCUCUUCGUUGGAAAAAAAAAAAACGACUCAGAAACAGUUCAAAAUGAAGGGAAGGAAACUGAGGUCUACGGGGCACUUUAUACUAACUGUUGAUAAUAAUCACAUAAUGGAGCAGGCAUUGGGGUUGUCAUCACUGAAAAGGUAGGUGAUUCUCUCUUCAGUUGCGUUUGGGGGAGGAGCAGCUUGUACCACAUUCCUCACAAAUCCCGCAGGUGCUCUCUUGUCGUAGGCUCCAGUUACAUAUGGGUAAAACACCAGGUUAUGAGGGACAUAUGGCCAGAACUCUGCUCUUUUUCCAGUGUCUUUUAUUCUCUUUAAUACUUUAUUUGGAUCAACGUAGCCACUCACCUUUACUCGGCUUUGCUUUCGAUCUACUUCCAGUGUUUUCAGACCUAAAAAAUCAUCUGAAAUUAGUUGGUAUAUAUAUCAAACAAGUACAAGCUUACGAAGUAAAGUAUGUUUUCGGCUUGACGAAAAAAAUAUACAAACAUGUUUUCGGUUGAAAAGCUUUUUAGGAGUAUGUGUUAUGUAACAAGAAAAUUAUAAUCUUUAGUGGAGGUGUAAUUAAUGAAAACAUUGAUCAACUUGCUAAAAAGGUCAGUCUAUAUAUUGGUCCACAUUUUCAUAUUAAAAAAAAAGGGUUCUCCUCCACCAUUAAUACGGGAUGCACUAGAUCCACUUUAUGGUAUAAAGGGCAGAUGAAAGGCAUAAAUAAGUGGCAAUGGAUUGAGCAUAAAAAAGUGGUUGGAUUGCAUUCUAUCCAUACAUAGUUAUCCAGAUCGAUCUUCGCCCUCAUCUUCUUCUUAUGAAAAGAGCCCAGCAUAUUUGAGCAUUUUCUAAUAACGAAAGGUUUUUGCAGGGUUUUUACUUGAUACACUCAAUCUGACUGGCUUGCAAGAAAACAUGCGAAACGCAUCCUGAUGAAAGUUUCGAUCGCCUUGUAUUACACUCGAAAGAGUGAUCCAAGAGAUCCGUCAAUACUUUAUAGGAAAUCAAAUAGGACUAGCAGUCAUUCCACAAAAAGGAAACAGAGAAAAUAGAUGUUGGUUGCAUGUGUGAAUCUGAAACUGACAAUGUACCAAAAAAGUUGAAAAGAAAAUCAACCAGAAAAAGUAAAAAGGAAGAAAAAGAAUAAAGCACCCCAGCAAACUAAUGACAUCUCUUAAAUGACAAGAAGUAUACACUAUUCAUUGAUCUUCAAAUGCAUUAAUUGAAGAUAAGAGAGAGGAAGUUUUCGUAUUGGUUUCUUCUGACUGAGGUUUUGACUUACAUCAAUGCGAUGCAUCAUAGUAACUCAGAAGCAGCAGAAGCUAAACAUGUUUUCCUUGGACACACAGAAAUAAAUUUUUUUUUUAAAAAAAAGAGUGCAAUGCAAGUAGUUUUACCUUUCAUGUCUUUUACAGCAUUCUUCACCCUUCUUUCGCAUCCAUCACAGUCCAUCUUAACCUUAAUCUCAACGGUCUGGUUAAGUAAAAAUGACAAAAGCAAACAUCCCUCAUCAUUCAGUCCAUUAAGUGAAACAGAAGAGCACCAAAACAACAGACGUAAAUCUUAAAACCCUGAGAAGCGAUUAAGAAGUUAACUAUGCGCUCGACGCGCAGGUGCUCCCUAGAAAAUUAAGCAGUUACCUGCAUUGGUUUCCUCUUGCUUCUUCUUGUGCUGGUGACAGUACAAAAGUUUGAGAGGUAGUCGAGAGCCCCCAUUUAAUUGUUCUCCUCUGGAUAUGGAAGAAAGCAAAGCUACCACAGAGAGAAUCGAGAAGAAAUGGUCAGAUAUAUGAGUGGGCUGGUCUGCGAGUCUUUGGUACCUAUUUGCAAGAGGUGGUAUUUAUACAAGAAGCUCCUAGCUAAGAGCUUUUGGGCUUUAGGCGAAAGGAAAUGAUAUAUUCUUUUCAAACUCUCAACUCUGACACUUUCGGGUGCGGAGAGCCUUUUUGAAACUUUUAUUUACCUAAUUUUGUAUUUAUUUAUUUUUGCAAAUUUGCCACUAGAGAUGUAAAAUUACUUCUUAACUAUGUAGUAUUAUGUACUUCUUCUAUUUUUUGCGAACGCUCGAGAACAAGCAGAUACAUCUAAUGCCUCUUGAGAUCAUGAAGAAUAUAUCUUAGGCGAGAAAUUCAUGUGAAAAAUUACUUAGACUGCACCUCAGGCCUGAAAAUCUUCCACCGAUUAAGGCCUUGGAAUUUGUUUAUGAGAGAGCAGACGAAGGAGGAGUACGGUUUAUUUGAGUCCCACAAAAAAAAAAACAGAUAGAGUGUUAAGUAGCAGUAGAGUAUAUUUUAGAAAAAGCAAAUGGCAACAAGUGCCCGGGAAUGAUGAGUGGGCAAGAAUGCUUUUGGGUUUUGCUCAUUUGUUUAUGUUGAUGUGUUAGCGAGAAAAUGGGGUGUAAAGUGCGUUUGUGUUUGCUUUCAUUUUCGUUCUAUGGGUGUGAGUGACUUUGCUUUUUCCCACUAUUUAUUUAUAUGAGUGAAGAAAGACCACCCGAUGAUUGCUUAGUCCCAAGAUUUUUGUUUGUGAGCAAUAUUAACGAUCAUUUCAGUUUCACCUUCCUAAUGUUAGAGACUGUGUGAAUCACCUCUCUUCUCUUUCGAAUUUGCGGCUUAAUGGAGUUACAAAAAGAUGUGUGUUAUCACUCACAGAUGACUUCAUUGCCUAAUCAGAUGAAGCCUUCUUCAAUUGAUAUAAGCAGCAGCACUCUUCCAAUCAGAAGUGAGCGGAAUGUGAAAUUCCCCACUAACUAACUGCAAGAAAAAUUUCAGCUUUCCGAUCAUCUCAUCAUUACAAAGUACGGAAUUGAAGGGCGGGCGUUUUUACGUUUAGGAUACAAAAUUAUCAGUAACAAAUUAAGGGUAAAGCGUAGCUAGCCUAAUGCUAAAAAAUUAUCGUUUGUUUAAAGUACACCCAAGGACAACUUUUACCAGCCGUCCGUUCAGCCACAAUCAUGGUGAUGCGGGCGGGGGCCAUUGCAAGAAAAAGAACGAUCAUUUGUGUCCGAUCAGCUAGCCUUCAUCAAUCCCAUCAAGAUCAAUAGUUUUUUAUGGUGUGCUUGCACCCCAAACCAAAACAACACCCUUUUGUAGGUUGUACAGGGCCAACCCCGCAAUAGGCACUGCUGGGGAAGGCACAGCACAACUCAUCAAUUCGGAAGAAGUGCUUGUUUCCUCCUCUUCUCACCUUGUUUACAUGCAAAAUUAAAGGAUUCGAGGGACCAGACAGAACGAGAGAGGAAGCAGAAUGCGACAUAAACAACAAAAUUCAAAUGACAUUAUUCUUACUCCCCUUUUAGGACAAAGAGGAGCCUAAAGGGGUUCUUCUGAGUACCCCAUGAGAUGAGAGUCAGUCCUCGAAGAAAUUCCAUUUUAUGAUUUUAUCUCAAGGAUAAACUACAAGUAGAGCCCUACUCGGGGACUUUUAGAUCCAUUUUUCGUAGCCCAGAAGAACAACCAAUCUGAAAGGUGAAUGUUAAGAAAUGGGAAGAAAACGAACUCUUCUUCAAUCUUUCCCUCCAUUGGUGCAGCAGGUCCAGUCCUUCAUAUCACAAUACGGUAAUCUUUUUUAGAAGGGGCUGUACCUGACCAACGCACAAACCAACUAAUAGCGAUGCUCUGUUCUCGGUGCACAACAAUAAUACAAGAAUGAUCCCUUUGGUACGGAAACACCAGAAUCCUCCGUUCCACAUGUAUUAAGAAAAAUUAAAGACAUUAAAACUAACAAUAUUUUCAUUUUUGAGAGGAAGGAUGAUAGAACUCAAUGUGUUUCCUUGUCUACUUCACAACUUACAUGGACUGCUGCUCAGCAACUGUAGUCAUAUCCGCUUCAAUUUCUGACCUCUCAAUCCAUUCCAAAAUGCUGACGCAUUUACCACCUUUGUACCUGGAAGUUGCACUUCUAGCACCUGCAAUGAUACAAGAUGCUAAUCACUGUGAUGGCUGCAAGAAGUAGACCAAAUUAACGACAAUUCCCACCUCCAGUGCCGUCUGUCUGCCACAUGGGAAUAUCAGUGAACCUUUGUUGAAAACCACAUCAUCAGCAUCCCCACUCUGAGCUUUGGCACCAUUAUAAACUCUUGUUGUGAUAAUCUUAAGCUCGGUAGUAUUAGACUGACCGUUUUGGGGAUCCACAAUCAUGACUUUAGCUCUGGUACCAGGCCAACCUGCAAAUGCACGAACCUAGAAGACUAUGUGUCAUGAUUAUACAGUAGGUGCAACAUGAGGAUCAAACCAAUACCUUGUUAUGAAGGGUUAUAGCUUCUUGAUCAAAGGAUAGCCAUGACUCCUUGGGUGUUAUCUGUAUCGAGCAAUCAAAGUAACCCAAUAUUCAUAUGUAGGUAAGAUGUGUCCCAAGAAUCGACCAGAAGAAAAACAAGUAUAUAAUCUCAAAUGCAAAUUUAAUCAACAGGCUACUCAUACAAAAAUUUAAGCAGCGUAAUCCUCAUUAACAAAUGAAGGGGAUAAAAAUUGCAGGAUAUGACCUGCACCAUUUUUAGACAAGAUCAUAAGAAAAUUUUGUUGCGAGUUUUGGAUCAAAUUCAAUCCAAAAAUCUAAUAAUCAAGUAGCAGCAUCAAAUUGGGCUUUAUUGAAAUUCAUUUUGUUCAUCAGUUGGCAAAGAGAGAAAUCAGGUCAGUUACUCCAAGAUGAGAGAGAAUAGAUGAAUAUCAAGAUCGAUGUCUCUAAAGAAAUCAAUUCAACAACUACUUUCCUUAACUUCUUUGAAUGGCUGCAAGUAUCAGAUGCACAUCUUACGGGUAUCAACUCCAAAACAAUUUGUAAAUAAUCUGAUAUUCUUGUGAUUAUUCCUCAGUUACUUCAUACUUAUUUCAACUAAGGGAUGUUAAACAAACUUCACCUUUGGAGCCAGAGUUGCUUUAGAUUCAUCCUGCUCUUCUGCUUUUCUUUUAGCUGAUCCAUCAAAAAUAAAGGGAAGCUCACGGAGCAGAAGUUCAGAUCCUGAAUGUUCCAAGAACUAAUGAGUCACCAAUACCUUUUACAGUAGGCUAGAAAAAUAAAAGCCCCAUUUCUCUAAAAGAACAAAAGCCAAUUUCUCUAAGCAUUCCACUCACUGCUAAACUAACAGAGUCCAGAUUGCACUAAAGUCCUGAGAAAUAUUAAUUGAUAUGCCAAAGAUCUCAAAGUGGCAUAAAUCUAUUAAGUAUUAUAUCAGAUGAAUACUUAAAAUAUUAAUGCAAAGCAGUAGUAGGAGAAGGAAUGCACAACACCUACCUUGUGCAAAUAAUAACUCAAGUAGCUCUGCUGCCUGCAAACGAAUCAGUACAAAGUUAGCUGACUUUAAGAAAGCAGUAUAUGCUAGCCUUAUAGAAUUACUUCAAUUCAGAUAUAACAUACACUCAAGAUCUUUUUCAGUCGUGGACGACACAUUAAUGAUUUUCAGUGGUUUGGGAAAGAGUAUAGAUUCAUAAGACACUAGAAUGAGGAGCUUAUAUGACAUAAAUCGAAGGAAGAAGAAAGACUUUAGUACCUUUAUUUGAUCAUCUACAUCUAUUCUUUGACAAGAAAUAACAGGUCCAGCAUCCAGUUGACGUACAGUAAAUGCUAGUGACACUCCUGUUUCCUUUACGCCAUCCUGUUACAAAAUUCAUUUCAUGAUUAAUAAAUGUCUAAAUAUUAAACAAGUCAGAGUCAAAGUCUAAGUCUAAGAAACUUAACCUCCAAUGCUCGCUGAACAGGGGCUGCACCACGGUAGAGAGGCAGCAAGCUUGGGUGAAUGUUUACGGUCCCUACAAGAAUGCAUUUGAAUAAGAAAAAGCUUAAAUCAAAUUCCCCAAUUUACAGAUUUGAUGCAAUAAAUGAACUGGAAAAAUAUUUUGUGCCAAACUAUCGUGGGACAGCACUAAAACAUUUCUCCUUGCUUCUGGACUAUCACUGUAAUAACUUACAAAUAGUGAACAUGUUUCUUCAUUUUACUAGUUAAACUUCUGACCAUUUCAGUCUAUUUUCUCUGCUUCUAUUAUAUGUAGUUGCAACUUUUUACCAUUUCACAAUCUCAUGAUUUAUUACUCCACCAUUUGUUGUUUUGCCCUAAAUCUAGCUUGACAUACUCUCUUCUCUACUUGUCUUCUUUUCCUUUAUACUCUUUUCUUGUUAUCAUUCAACAAUCAGACAUUCAUCUUAUCAAAAUUUUGAUUUCAACCAUGCUCACAUACCCAUCAUCUGUUCGACUUAUUCUCCAGGUUCUUAUUUUUGUCAGAUGUAAAUACCAGAAAGGGGACUUUUCUGAAAGUUGUGAUAGACAGUUAAAUGAUAAAAUAAGUAUUAAUUUCUCUUACUUUUGACAUCAACAUUCCACCAAAGGUCAAAGUACACAUCUUUUGCCACUUUCAAGGAAUUAUUGGUAUACAUCUCUCCAUGGCGUUCACAAUUUAGAUGUUUAAACUUCUAAAAAACCUGAGAUAACAACUAAUACAAACGGGAUUUCUGACAGAAAAAUCACGAUUACUAACCCAAUGAUGGAAUCUUCAGAAACUUGCUUGGUAAAAUAUUCCCAUAUGCAGCAGUAACACAAAGUUCAGGCUCCAGAGACUUGAAAUUCUCAAGAAAUGAUUCCUAAACAAAAUAAAGUUGAUGGUAAGUUCUCUUAUCAAGGAGGGCAUUCCUUCAGAAGUGUUAAGCUCAACAGCAUCAAUAGCAAAGGGAAAUCGGGAAAUCAACUGAAGGUCUUCAUGGCAAUGCAACAUAUUUGUUUGGAUUGUAAGUUAUUUGGGAUUAUUUGGGAUAUUUUUACUGUAGCACUUUUUGUGAUGUGAUGUAUUUUAGAUAAAAAGGUAAUUGGAAAGAUAAAAAGGUGUAUUGGAAAUUGUAAUGAUGAUGUAAACAAAUAAAACUGGGUAAAUAAUGCUCAAUCCAAACAAACCCAUAGAUGUUGAAUAUGCCAAAUAUAUUCAUCAAAAAGUAUGCAUCUUUUUAUGAUCUACAGUUGUAUAACAUCACAGCUCCUCAAUUGUUUUUCUAACCAGCCAGAAUUGCUAAUACCACUGUCCAAGCUACAAAAUUUUCUAACUUUCUACAUGAAAAUCUCCCAGUAACAAGUAGGUGCUUCUUGUACAAGUCAUGGAUCGCAUUAAAGUACAAAAGCAUCAAGCAUUCGCCAAUUGGUUGGUAGGCUAUCUACAUGAAACAGUACAAGCCCUGGUGCACCUGGUAACAGGCCCUGUCCAUGGAAACGAGUGACCACCCCUAAUAAACCUUUUUAGCCACCAAAAAAAAAAGGAUCUGACUGACAAAGUUCAUUGUUAAAUAUUAACCUGAGGAUGUCUGUUACUGCAAAAAGUUUUCUAUUCCCUUUCAUUCACUCAUUCGUAAAUGGGCAUUCCCCUCUGGGCAUGUUUUGAAAGAGCAGAAUGCCAUUCUAAAUUUUUGUAUGCUAGUGAAUCUAGAAUGGAGUACAAGCAGCAAUCACCAAGAAAUGGCGAUCUAUGUAUAAUAAUUUAGUUGUCAGUAUCGGGCAGCUUGAUCCAUCAGUGCUUUUAAUCGGCUUCCCAGAGCAAAAAAUCUCAAAUGCGACAGUAUACUAUCUCCUAAUACUUUGGCAGUGGCUUAAAAAUUAUGCUGCGAAGUGACCAUUCACACCCUCAAUACAGAAUCGUCAGAAAAAAAAGGCUGCAACCUGGAUGGUUAUCAUUUGCCCCCAAUUUACCUAUGUGCGCAAAAAAGUACAAAUGUGAUGCACUUGUUGCAAACUGCUAUAAGAUAAUUAAAUUUCUGCAUAACUGUAUUAAGAUGUUACCUCACCAGCUUUUACAGGUGUGAAUAUCAAAUCAGAGGGGAAGCCUUUGUCAAGAGCAUGCUGUGCUACAGGAGAAGGCGUGAUCUUUCUUCCUCUAUCUCUCCCAGAGGGUGGCUGAGUAACAAUUGCAGCAACCUAGAGCAUUGCAAAUACCAAAAAAGAAAAAAAAGUGAAAGAAUCAAUAUUGAUUAGCGAAUUCCAAUUGCCAUGAAUGCCUCAAAGCCUAUCAGACCAUCAUUAAAAAUAUAUACACAAUGCUAACAAGAGCAAGGAAAUAUAGAAAAACUAGGAUGAGAAGUACGAAUCCUAAGGCCAGAUACAGCAGUAAAUUUCCCAUUGAUUAUAAUUAUGAACGACCCAGCAAACCAUAUUUCCACUUGACAAACUGGGAAAUUAAAUAUGAACUUCUACAAGCAGAAGCUAAAAUAAUCAGUAAGAGAACUUCAACAAAAGCAACAUCAACAAAGAAGACGAAGCUUGCUAUAUCAUCUGCUGCAUUGUGCAAAUUGUAAUUUUUUAAAACUCUAUCGCUUCAAAUACUCUACUGUGAAACAACAACCAAACACUGUAAAAGAAUGAUUCAUGAUUAAGGGUCAUGGAAUAUAGCUGAUGCUACAAACCAUUAACAUUCAUGACUGGUGAAAAAAUGUCUACAAGUCGUACCUUUACUGUAAAUGUUCAGCAGGUCACAUAAAUUUCAAGGAAAACAAGAUUACAACAAAAAAUUCUGUAUGUUUUUUGAGCAGAAUUUACUGUACAAAAUGACUUAAGCACAAGCAUUACACUACAGAAUAAUGAAAGAUAAAGCAGUAAUACCUCAAAUAGGGAAUCAGGAGCAGAAGAUGCAGAGAAUAAAGCAUCAAGAACCGAAGCAGAUACCUAGAGAACAAAUAACUAAUUUACAAAACGUAGGCAUUGUAAGUUGUAUUAACUAUAAAAGCAGGCAGCGAAGAGAAGAGAGAAGGGUAUUGAACCUGAGGGGAUCCCAAGAAGACCAGACGCCUUUUCUUGUUAAGGGAAGAAAAAGGAGCAGAUGCAAGAGAAGAAGAAGCACUAGUGCUGAAGCAGCAAAAGCGUCGAAGCAUCAUCGCAGAGGACCAUAUCAAUACCAUCAUCUUCUUCUUUUCCUCCUCUUUCUUGCUCUUCCAGGUUCCGAUUGCAGCUGCUUGAUGUUCUCAGAACUGGGCAAUGGGGCUAAGUUCCUCGUGGGAUUUUACGGACCAUAUUGCAAAUGGGACUCAUUGGGCUUUCCAGGAUUAAUCUACAAAGAAUAGAACCAACAGUCCUGCACCCAAUAUCGCAGACCGGUAACCGAUGUUUCGGGGAGGCAAGUAAAGUGAACCCGCCCUGGUCCUUCCCGUAACUUUUUUUUUUUUUCUUGGCAGUCUUUUUUAGUUUGUAAAUUAGUAUUCUUUUUUUUUUUUUUUGUCAAUACAGAGUGUAUCCCAGUUUUGCCGGACUAAUCACCCUGCACCUGAAGUACCCCGCCCCAGUUUGUAAAUUAGUAUUCCGGUCGAACAAUUUCACAACUGAAAUUGUGACUUCGCAAUUCAUGCACAUGGUUCAAUUGAAUCGGCGAUUUGUCACCUUAAACCAUAUGGAACGUUGUUUUGCUUUAUACAAGAGCUCAUAAUAUUAUCUACUACUAACAAAAAAAAAACUUAUAAAUCUACCAUAAAAACUAGGGAUACUUGAAGAAACCUCCCAUGAGAUUUCUAACAAUUUCACUAGCCUCCCCUAAAUUUUACAAAAUCAAGGUUAAGGUUUUGAUAAUAAAAUUGGUCCAAUUAGAAAAAGUAACAUUAAAAAAAUACUUUAAGGAGAGAGAUGAAACUUUUGUUCCAUUAAUACCCCUUAUGUAUAUAUAUAAGUUGUAUCAGUAAAAGAAUGAAAAUAAUUAAAAGUUAGAAACAAUUAAUAAACACAUUUUACAACUCAAAAAGUUCACAUUCAAUAAAUUUGAUAAUACAAAUAAGCAACAAAACUAUAUUAAUGAUAAUAGGAUUCAGCAAAACAGACUAGUCAUCUCUUUUGACAUGAUGUUUGCUACAAUUCUUGUGAUUUUGAAAAGAAAAAUUUUUAAAUUUUGCAUUUCUUUUCCCUCCUUUCUCCUUUGCUAAUAUCUAACGAUUAAACAAUUAGAAACUCUUUAAGUUAUGACAGUUGUAAGUAAUUUCAUGAAAGUAAAGGAAAAAAGAGGGAAAAUAAAAACAAAAUUCAAAAUUCAAAAUUUUUGCUAUUUAAAAUCACAAGAAUCAUAACAAACAUCAUAUUAAAAGAUAAGACUAGUCUGUUUUGCUAAAUCUUGUGAUCAUUAGUAUAGUUUUGUUGCUUAUUUGUAUUGUCUAAUUUAUUUGAAUUUGAACUUUUUCAGUGGUAAAAUGUGUUUAUUAAUUAUUUCUAACUUUUAAUUAUUUUUAUUCUUUUACUGGAAUAAAAGUUUCAUCUCUAUUUUUAAAGUGCUUUUUUUAAUUGAACUAAUUUUGUUUUUAAAAGUUUAAAACCUUAACCUCAAGGGAGGUUUUUAUAAUUUUGCAAACUUCAUGAGAGACUGGUAAAAUUGUUAGAAAUCUCAAGGGAGGUUUCUGAAAUUAUCCCUAAAAACUAACCUCGUUUGUUCCUAUACCCUGAUUCUAUACACGGCCCAUAUCGUGUCAGGAUACAAAUUUACAAAUUGCAAAGGUUAGCCACUCGCUCUCGCACAACUGCAUUUCAAUGCUGACGGCCAGAGCGAUUCAGUUUUCUGAAGUUUCCAGUUUCUACUGUUCUUUAUCAUUAUUGUCAUUUUCAACGCUAUUCAUCCACGUACAGAGCUUGAAUUGCUGGAAAAAAUGUACAAGGGAGAAGAGUAGUAAGAAAAAUCUAGGAGAUUUCAAUGUCAAAUGGCUUCUUUACUCUUUGCUUUGAUUUUUUCUUUCAAGCUGAACAAAAGCAUGUACCAUACACUAACUAUGGCUGCUCAAUUCUGUGAAGCUGUGCCUACAAAUCGCAAUCAAACUGCCGCCUUUACUGUCUCUAAUCGUCAACCAACAAAAACCAAGCCAAGACCCCACCAGCGCUACCAAGUUAGAUGACUCGCUUUUGAGUUCUCGCCGAGUACUAAACUAUAUGUCC
Molecule: long non-coding RNA, 14599 nt
Filed under: Coffea arabica (coffee)
Lineage: Eukaryota; Viridiplantae; Streptophyta; Magnoliopsida; Gentianales; Rubiaceae
Description: long non-coding RNA (CARA_LNC005207)
Source: RNAcentral